CCAGACUCCUACGGGAGGCAGCAGUGGGGGAUAUUGCACAAUGGGGGGAACCCUGAUGCAGCGACGCCGCGUGGGUGAAGGAGUAUUUCGGUAUGUAAAGCCCUAUCGGCAGGGAAGAAGCAAGACGGUACCUGACUAAGAAGCCCCGGCUAACUACGUGCCAGCAGCCGCGGUAAUACGUAGGGGGCAAGCGUUAUCCGGAUUUACUGGGUGUAAAGGGAGCGUAGACGGCUGUGCAAGUCAGAAGUGAAAGCCCGGGGCUCAACCGCGGGACUGCUUUUGAAACUGUGUAGCUGGAGUGCAGGAGAGGUAAGUGGAAUUCCUAGUGUAGCGGUGAAAUGCGUAGAUAUUAGGAGGAACACCGGUGGCGAAGGCGGCUUGCUGGACAGUAACUGACGUUGAGGCUCGAAAGCGUGGGGAGCAAACAGGAUUAGAUACCCUCGUAG
Molecule: ribosomal RNA, 446 nt
Filed under: uncultured bacterium
Lineage: Bacteria
Description: partial 16S ribosomal RNA
Rfam family: Bacterial small subunit ribosomal RNA
Source: RNAcentral